Molecule: long non-coding RNA, 517 nt
Organism: Salvia miltiorrhiza (redroot sage)
Lineage: Eukaryota; Viridiplantae; Streptophyta; Magnoliopsida; Lamiales; Lamiaceae
Exons: 3
Source: RefSeq, a predicted model, not a curated record
CCACACUACUCCUUUUCCCCCACCACUACAAUCUUUCUCCCACUCUCACAACUUUUCUCCCACCAUUAUCACACUCCAUAGAAGCCUUUGAAGCCCCAAGAGAAGUAGCAAAGCAAGGGAGAGUGUGGGAAAACUAUAGAGUGAAGGUUGUGCUUCGAGGGUCCGGGCGACAGAAAGUGAAGCCGAAGAAGAAACGACUCCACGCCAGCUUUAAGAACAAUUGAGGUUGAGCAGGCGAUGGAAUGGAUCGGUGUUGAGCGGAUUUCCCUUUUGAUGUUUAUGUAAUGAAACCUUGAGUAUGCAUCUCCAUAUGCAUAACUCACACGUUUUUCCGCUGCAAACACUCUGACUUAUUUAUCAUUUCUACUUGAACUUAUUACUACUUCAUUUUAAUUAACUUUCAGUUGGGGUCUAGUCGUUAUGGCAGACUCGUUUGUGAAUUACCCAAGUGGUUAUAUAUAUAUAUACCACUAGUUUGUUAUUAAUGUUGGUUACUUAGUAAAUCCCCUUUAAUUUC